CUUCUACGUUCGCGACCGUCCGAC
This 24-nucleotide non-coding RNA is filed under the name Arabidopsis thaliana (thale cress). The record is from RNAcentral. Lineage: Eukaryota; Viridiplantae; Streptophyta; Magnoliopsida; Brassicales; Brassicaceae.